UAAACUGAAGAGUUUGAUCAUGGCUCAGAUUGAACGCUGGCGGCAGGCCUAACACAUGCAAGUCGAGCGUGAAAGCACUUCGGUGUGAGUAGAGCGGCGGACGGGUGAGUAACGCGUAGAAAUCUACCUAGUAGUGGGGGACAACCUGGUGAAAACCAGGCUAAUACCGCAUACGUCCUACGGGAGAAAGCAGGGGACCUUCGGGCCUUGCGCUAUUAGAUGAGUCUGCGUUGGAUUAGCUAGUUGGUAGGGUAAAAGCCUACCAAGGCGACG
This 273-nucleotide ribosomal RNA is filed under the name Cellvibrionales bacterium. Its description in RNAcentral is "partial 16S ribosomal RNA". It matches the Rfam family "Bacterial small subunit ribosomal RNA", at positions 1 to 278 of the family's 1533-position model. Lineage: Bacteria; Pseudomonadati; Pseudomonadota; Gammaproteobacteria; Cellvibrionales. The record is from RNAcentral.